UUCCCCAAAAGCUAACCACAAAAACUCUAAUGCUCUUUUUCUGAUAACGAAACAAUUUCAAUGCCAAGUCAUGACUACUCCUAGAAAACAUCAUUUACCAGAGACGCAGUUCUACUUUCAUGUUCACUUUAAAUGAGCUUACAGACUCCUCAAUAACCUAAAAGCAAGACAGAGUUUCACCAAUACUGUAAAUAUGAUUUUUUUUAAAGAAGGAAGAGAGAAAUGGGAGACUUAUAAAGUAAGACUUGUAUGCUAAACACACAAACCAGAAGUAAUCCCCCUCGACCUUCCUUGGCUAGACUAACUCAAUUAGUUUCCCUAAACCACCACAGACACUUGCCAAGAUUAAAUAUUUGUGUUUAAUCAUUCAGAAAGUGAAAGAUUAUAUACUGUAAUGUAACACUUUUUACGGAAACCUCUAGUUGAGCAACAGUUCCAGAAAAAAAUUGUGAAAUGAAGUGAAAAGCUGUGCAGAACACCAUGCUUCCACUCAGUUAAUUCAAAAAAAUUGAACUUCAGAGCUAAGCACCAAGUUCCCUGCCCAUAGCAGGGGGCUGAAACUGGAUGAUGUUUAAGUCCCUUCCAACCCAAACAACUCUGUGAUUCUAUGAUAAGCUGAGACCUCAUUUUUAGCAUAUCAACAUUCUUGGAAGCGGCACGUUUCUAAAUGCAGCGCGUUUGAAAUUACUCCAGAAUAACAACCAUGGCUAAGAAGUUAUUAAAUAUUAUCAUUCCCUGGCCAGCAACUUGUGCUACAUGCAGAUAGCAUGACGGAACAAAUGUCAGGGCUAAUUUUCACCGUCUUGGCCGGCGCGCCGCACUAAUCCAGGUAUACAGUAACCGAAGGGAAAGUCGCAAUGAAAACACGCACAAGGCUGGGCACUACCUGUGCAAUCCCGGCUGACGCAGCGCACGAUGCAUGGAAAAAACUGCUCGUUUAUUCACCCGGGGGAGGCACAGCUCGGCCCGUUCCCCCCCGAGCAGCCCUCCGAGCGCGCCGCACGCCCCGGCCCUGCCUUUGUAACAUGGCAGGUCAGCGGCACAGCGCAGCCGAGUCGCGGGCAGCUCCCGCCCCGAGCACCGCCUGCCUCCGCGGGCCGGGGGUGCGCUUCUCCGAGCCGGCCGUGACCGCGGCUUCCCGGGAAGCGGAGAAAGUUUUUCCCCCACCUCCUACCGCGGCCCAGCGGAAAGUUACCGCCGGCCCUGCGCGCCCCUCAGCCUCGCGCCUCCCGGCCCCCGCCCCAGCCCGGCGCUGACAGCCCCGCCGCGGGCAGGGUCGCCCCUUCCCCGCCGGCCCAGGCUCGCGAUAGCGCCCGCCCCGCGAUAUCUCCUCAGUGACACCCCCCCCCCGACCGCCCCACCGCGGUGACAGCCCGGCUCCCCCCGCCGCCCCGCAGCACUCACCUCAGGCGGGGGCCGCGCUCCCCGGGGACGGGGGACGGCCGCCGGCGCCUCCUGUCCCCGGCGCCGAGGAGCGGGAGGGUGAAGGGGGAGAGCGCGCUCGGUCCCCGCGCCCUUAUCUCACCCUCGCGGCGCCCGACUCGCCUUCGCUGCCUACCCCGCCGUGUG
Strigops habroptila (Kakapo) is the source of this 1569-nucleotide long non-coding RNA. The record is from Ensembl. NCBI's taxonomy places the organism in Eukaryota, Metazoa, Chordata, Aves, Psittaciformes, Psittacidae.